CAGCCGCCACGGUAAUACGAAGGGUGCAAGCGUUAAUCGGAAUUACUGGGCGUAAAGCGUGCGUAGGCGGUGAGUUAAGUCUGCUGUGAAAUCCCCGGGCUCAACCUGGGAAUGGCAGUGGAUACUGGCUCGCUAGAGUGUGUCAGAGGAUGGUGGAAUUCCCGGUGUAGCGGUGAAAUGCGUAGAGAUCGGGAGGAACAUCAGUGGCGAAGGCGGCCAUCUGGGACAACACUGACGCUGAGGCACGAAAGCGUGGGGAGCAAACAGGAUUAGAUACCCCAGUAGUCCCUGUCUCUUAUAU
Molecule: ribosomal RNA, 301 nt
Filed under: uncultured bacterium
Lineage: Bacteria
Description: partial 16S ribosomal RNA
Rfam family: Bacterial small subunit ribosomal RNA
Source: RNAcentral